Molecule: microRNA precursor, 59 nt
Filed under: Panagrellus redivivus
Lineage: Eukaryota; Metazoa; Nematoda; Chromadorea; Rhabditida; Panagrolaimidae
Description: microRNA prd-mir-1 precursor
Gene: prd-mir-1
Rfam family: mir-1 microRNA precursor family
About the family: This family represents the microRNA (miRNA) mir-1 family. miRNAs are transcribed as ~70nt precursors (modelled here) and subsequently processed by the Dicer enzyme to give a ~22nt product. In this case the mature sequence comes from the 3' arm of the precursor.
Source: miRBase by way of RNAcentral
ACGUGCUUCUUUGCAAGACCAUAGUGAAUACUGUUUAUGGAAUGUAAAGAAGUAUGUAG